This 520-nucleotide ribosomal RNA is filed under the name uncultured bacterium. RNAcentral describes it as "bacterial SSU rRNA". It matches the Rfam family "Bacterial small subunit ribosomal RNA", at positions 30 to 534 of the family's 1533-position model. The record is from RNAcentral.
AUUGAACGCUGGCGGCAGGCCUAACACAUGCAAGUCGAGCGAGAAAGGUCUUCGGACUGAGUACAGCGGCGGACGGGUGAGUAAAGCGUAGGAAUCUACCUGGUAGUGGGGGAUAACUUGGGGAAACUCAAACUAAUACCGCAUACGCCCUACGGGGGAAAGGCGGGGGACCGUUCGGGCCGUCGCGCUAUCAGAUGAGCCUGCGUAGGAUUAGCUAGUUGGUGAGGUAAAGGACUCACCAAGGCGACGAUCCUUAGCUGGUCUGAGAGGAUGAUCAGCCACACUGGGACUGAGACACGGCCCAGACUCCUACGGGAGGCAGCAGUGGGGAAGUAUUGCGCAAUGGGCGAAAAGCCUGACGCAGCCAUGCCGCGUGUGUGAAGAAGGCCUUAGGGUUGUAAAGACACUUUCUAAUUGGGAAGAAAAGUUAGGUCGUUAAAUAGCGGCCAGCCCUGACAUUACCUUUAGAAGAAGGACCGGCUAACUACCGUGCCAGCAGCCGCGGUAAAGUCGUACGAUC